UUAUUGUCACAACUGGGGAAAU
This 22-nucleotide microRNA is filed under the name Macaca fascicularis (crab-eating macaque). RNAcentral's name for it is "novel_miR14-3p". Lineage: Eukaryota; Metazoa; Chordata; Mammalia; Primates; Cercopithecidae. The record is from RNAcentral.